GACGAACGCUGGCGGCGUGCUUAACACAUGCAAGUCGAACGGAAAGGCCCUGCUUUUGUGGGGUGCUCGAGUGGCGAACGGGUGAGUAACACGUGAGUAACCUGCCCUUGACUUUGGGAUAACUUCAGGAAACUGGGGCUAAUACCGGAUAGGAGCUCCUGCUGCAUGGUGGGGGUUGGAAAGUUUCGGCGGUUGGGGAUGGACUCGCGGCUUAUCAGCUUGUUGGUGGGGGAGUGGCUUACCAAGGCUUUGACGGGUAGCCGGCCUGGGAGGGUGACCGGCCACAUUGGUACUGAGAUACGGCCCAGACUCCUACGGGAGGCAGCAGUGGGGAAUAUUGCACAAUGGGCGGAAGCCUGAUGCAGCAACGCCGCGUGCGGGAUGACGGCCUUCGGGUUGUAAACCGCUUUCGCCUGUGACGAAGCGUGAGUGACGGUAAUGGGUAAAGAAGCACCGGCUAACUACGUG
Molecule: ribosomal RNA, 468 nt
Filed under: uncultured bacterium
Lineage: Bacteria
Description: partial 16S ribosomal RNA
Rfam family: Bacterial small subunit ribosomal RNA
Source: RNAcentral